CGAACGGGUGAGUAAUGCGUGACCAACCUGCCCCAUGCUCCAGAAUAGCUCUUGGAAACGGGUGGUAAUGCUGGAUGCUCCAACUUGACGCAUGUCUUGUUGGGAAAGUGUUUAGUGGCAUGGGAUGGGGUCGCGUCCUAUCAGCUUGUAGGCGGGGUAAUGGCCCACCUAGGCUUCGACGGGUAGCCGGCCUGAGAGGGCGGACGGCCACAUUGGGACUGAGACACGGUCCAGACUCCUACGGAGCAGCAGCU
This 254-nucleotide ribosomal RNA is filed under the name uncultured Gardnerella sp. RNAcentral describes it as "partial 16S ribosomal RNA". It matches the Rfam family "Bacterial small subunit ribosomal RNA", at positions 99 to 355 of the family's 1533-position model. Lineage: Bacteria; Bacillati; Actinomycetota; Actinomycetes; Bifidobacteriales; Bifidobacteriaceae. The record is from RNAcentral.